RNAcentral lists this ribosomal RNA (484 nucleotides) under uncultured bacterium. RNAcentral describes it as "partial 16S ribosomal RNA". It matches the Rfam family "Bacterial small subunit ribosomal RNA", at positions 28 to 523 of the family's 1533-position model. The record is from RNAcentral.
GACGAACGCUGGCGGCGUGCUUAACACAUGCAAGUCGAACGAUGAACCCGGAGCUUGCUCCGGUGGAUUAGUGGCGAACGGGUGAGUAACACGUGAGUAACCUGCCCUUGACUCUGGGAUAACUGCGGGAAACUGUAGCUAAUACCGGAUACGACCCUCGGCGGCAUCGCCAGGGGGUGGAAAGAAUUUCGGUCAAGGAUGGACUCGCGGCCUAUCAGCUAGUUGGUGAGGUAACGGCUCACCAAGGCGACGACGGGUAGCCGGCCUGAGAGGGUGAUCGGACACACUGGGACUGAGACACGGCCCAGACUCCUACGGGAGGCAGCAGUAGGGAAUCUUCCGCAAUGGACGAAAGUCUGAUGCAGCAACGCCGCGUGAGGGAUGACGGCCUUCGGGUUGUAAACCUCUUUUAGUAGGGAAGAAGCGAAAGUGACGGUACCUGCAGAAAAAGCACCGGCUAACUACGUGCCAGCCGCCGCAGUAA